This 936-nucleotide small RNA is filed under the name Pan troglodytes (chimpanzee). RNAcentral describes it as "retained intron". Lineage: Eukaryota; Metazoa; Chordata; Mammalia; Primates; Hominidae. The record is from RNAcentral.
GUUCAGAGUGGCUCAACUAUGAGGGGCUGCCUAGUUACUGAGAAGCUUAUUAUGGAGCUCAGAGAAGUAGUCAGGGCCGACUCUUAGAAAUUGCAGCUCUCCUGUUUACCUGUAAUCAUUUCAGUUGGAAUUACAAAGCAGGUCAGCUGAAAAGAGUCAGCCUGUGAAGCAUUGUAUUUAACUUGGAUUCACCUGGAAAGAUAGAAGUGGAUUCUGUGAUGUCUUCAAUAAAUCCAAAUACUUCUGGUAUAUUACUUGAGGGGUUUUUAAAUAUUGUCAGGAAAAAGAAGGAAGCUCAACGAUAUCGGAAUGAAGUAAGACACAUCUUCACAGCCUUUGACACCUACUAUCGUGGAUUUUUAACUUUGGAAGAUUUCAAAAAAGCAUUUAGGCAGGUGGCUCCCAAAUUACCGGAAAGGACUGUUCUUGAGGUAUUCAGGUAAGGCAUCAAAAUCCUUCUGUACACCACCUUUUGAUUUACCAUUUGCUUUUACAUGUUUUUGACUUUAUGGAAAGAACUUAUUUAUUCUGAUUUUUGAGUCUGGAACAUUUUUCUCUUGCAGCAUAGUGUCAUGGUCCAGGAGGGAAAUCUAUAGUUAGCUAUGAGUCCUUCCAUGCCCCUGACAGUGAACUGUAAAGUUGGGGGAGCGCUUGCACACCAGGCAGGUGCAUACAAGCACUUAUGAGUAGGGGCAGGAGAGGAACAGGAAGAAAGAACUUCUUCAGAUACUUACGUGUGAACCAAGGGAAAAUGGAGCUUUAGUAAUAUUUAGCAUGGAUGCUGGUGUCCUCACAUGGUCUGUAUUUCAGACAAACACAGGUUACAUGUGGUUCUUGAGUUGUCUGGAGAGAACAGCUGGAGUUGCCUGAUGGUAGCCCCCUUGUUCCCUUGCUUUCAAAGCUACUGACACAUGUUGCUGUUCACACAUACCUGAU